Molecule: ribosomal RNA, 253 nt
Filed under: uncultured bacterium
Lineage: Bacteria
Description: partial 16S ribosomal RNA
Rfam family: Bacterial small subunit ribosomal RNA
Source: RNAcentral
UACGUAGGGGGCUAGCGUUGUCCGGAAUCAUUGGGCGUAAAGCGCGUGUAGGCGGCCCGGUAAGUCCGCUGUGAAAGUCGGGGGCUCAACCCUCGAAGGCCGGUGGAUACUGUCGGGCUCGAGUGCGGAAGAGGCGAGUGGAAUUCCUGGUGUAGCGGUGAAAUGCGCAGAUAUCAGGAGGAACACCAAUUGCGAAGGCAGCUCGCUGGGACGUUACUGACGCUGAGACGCGAAAGCGUGGGGAGCAAACAGG